UGCAGUCGAACGAUGAACCACUUCGGUGGGGAUUAGUGGCGAACGGGUGAGUAACACGUGGGCAAUCUGCCCUGCACUCUGGGACAAGCCCUGGAAACGGGGUCUAAUACCGGAUACUGACCCCCGCAGGCAUCUGCGGGGUUCGAAAGCUCCGGCGGUGCAGGAUGAGCCCGCGGCCUAUCAGCUUGUUGGUGAGGUAACGGCUCACCAAGGCGACGACGGGUAGCCGGCCUGAGAGGGCGACCGGCCACACUGGGACUGAGACACGGCCCAGACUCCUACGGGAGGCAGCAGUGGGGAAUAUUGCACAAUGGGCGAAAGCCUGAUGCAGCGACGCCGCGUGAGGGAUGACGGCCUUCGGGUUGUAAACCUCUUUCAGCAGGGAAGAAGCGAAAGUGACGGUACCUGCAGAAGAAGCGCCGGCUAACUACGUGCCAGCAGCCGCGGUAAUACGUAGGGCGCGAGCGUUGUCCGGAAUUAUUGGGCGUAAAGAGCUCGUAGGCGGCUUGUCACGUCGGUUGUGAAAGCCCGGGGCUUAACCCCGGGUCUGCAGUCGAUACGGGCAGGCUAGAGUUCGGUAGGGGAGAUCGGAAUUCCUGGUGUAGCGGUGAAAUGCGCAGAUAUCAGGAGGAACACCGGUGGCGAAGGCGGAUCUCUGGGCCGAUACUGACGCUGAGGAGCGAAAGCGUGGGGAGCGAACAGGAUUAGAUACCCUGGUAGUCCACGCCGUAAACGGUGGGCACUAGGUGUGGGCGACAUUCCACGUCGUCCGUGCCGCAGCUAACGCAUUAAGUG
Molecule: ribosomal RNA, 795 nt
Filed under: Streptomyces sp. 6-28
Lineage: Bacteria; Bacillati; Actinomycetota; Actinomycetes; Kitasatosporales; Streptomycetaceae
Also listed under: 1 other name
Description: bacterial SSU rRNA
Rfam family: Bacterial small subunit ribosomal RNA
Source: RNAcentral